Molecule: RNA transcript, 1820 nt
Organism: Arachis stenosperma
Lineage: Eukaryota; Viridiplantae; Streptophyta; Magnoliopsida; Fabales; Fabaceae
Gene name: transcription factor TCP5-like
Exons: 4
Source: RefSeq, a predicted model, not a curated record
UUUAAAAGUGAUUUGUGAAUAUGUUUUCCCCAGGCAUAAAAUAGUUUGAAAGUGGUAUGGUGAAGGAAAAACUAAAGCAUAGAGCAGCAGAAUAAUCAGAUAUGAAGAUCGAAUUUGCCUUCACACGCGCGUAACAAGAAGAAUUUGAGAAAGCUGUGAUGAUGAUGGUGUGAAAAUGAAUCUAACGACGAUGAUGAUGGAAAGAAAGGAAGAAGGCAUGAUAAUAGAAGAGAACAAGAAGAAGAGCAAUGAAAAUGACAAGUUUACCCUGAAGGGAUCGGCGGCGGCGGCGUCGUCAUCAACAAGGCAAUGGUCGGCGUUUCGGAAUCCAAGAAUCGUGAGGGUAUCAAGGUCAUUUGGGGGAAAAGACAGGCACAGCAAGGUUUGCACCAUAAGAGGGCUUCGUGACCGUCGGAUCAGGCUCUCAGUCCCCACCGCCAUUCAAUUGUACGACUUGCAAGACAAGUUGGGACUCUCUCAACCAAGCAAAGUCAUCGAUUGGCUUCUUGAUGCUACAAAACUUGAUAUCGAUAAGCUUCCCCCUCUUCACUUCCCUCAACCCUGCUUCCAACCGCCGCAAACCCUAUUCCCUCAUCUUCUCCAUGACCCUUCCUCUUUCUGGAAACCCAGGUUCUGGGAUUUCGACUCUUCCGCUUCCUCCUCUUCUUCUUCCAGGUUUCUCAAAGGGAAGGACUUAAUGACCACCAUGCCCUCCGACAAUAAUAAUAAUAAAGCCAAGUGGAUCUUCAAAUCAAACAAUGCGGAUCAUGAGAAUCAAGAAUUCGGAGGCGGUUACACUACUCAGAGACUUUUCCCAAUGGAGACUACUACCAAUAAUAAUAAUCCCUUUCAGAGUUUGUUUUUCAACAACAACUCUACCCCUGAGGCUUCUAAUUUGGGAAGCCAUGGAUUGUUGUUUCCUUCUAGUUCUUGUUCUUCUUCUUCUGCAAGUAUUUAUCAUCACCAUCAUCAAAUGGGAGAUUAUUAUGGUAGUUAUCCAAUGCAAUUGAACCAUUUAUCUUCUUUGCAAGUAGGCCCAUCUGCUUCCUCACAAUUAUUAUUUGGUCCUUUAUCUUCUGCUACUGCUGUUGCUGCUGCUACACCGCAGAUUUUCACACCUUAUGCACCAUUUGUAACAACCCCAUCAUCUCUUCUCGAAGGUAGUAGUCAUAAUAAUAAUGGCGGUGCAGAUUCAAUAAAACAACAGCAGCAUCAAUUCAUCAAUAGUCACAUUCAUCACUUCUUGAACUCAUCCUCCUCAUCCACAUCAUCAUCAUCAUCAUCAUCAACUAGCCUUCUUCUCCAUCACCAUCAUCAUUCAUUAUUCAGUUCAUCAUCACCUGUCAGACCCUUCUUCCCUACACCCUUCAGUUCCAAGCUUCUAGAUUCUUCCUCGUCAGAUCGUAAUGGAGGCCACCAACCAGAUCAUAAUAAUAAUAAGGGUACCACUACUACUACUACUACUACUUCAGGUCGUUCUUGAUCUUCAAUUGCUGCUACUACUACUACUAUAAUUCAAGAAUGAAUGUAGAGCAAAUUUAUAUUCUGAGAAAGCUAAGAGAUGAUGAACACAUACAUCGCACCUUUGUAGUUCUUAUUUGCUAAUUAAUUAGCACCCUCAGAGCUAAGCAGCGGUUAUUAUCAAAUUUCAGAAUUAAUUUUGCUAGUUAAAGACUCAAGUAUCAGAUUGACCUUCUUCUUUGCCGUAUGUGUGUAUAUAUAUAUAUAUAUAUAUAUAUAUAUAUAUGAAAAAUCAGUACUCAAAUUAACUAUUAUAAAUAUAUGUAUUGGUUAAAUAAUUUUUAAUAUAUAUUUUAUAU